AGUUUAAACACACACAUGAGAAUCCACACAGGACAGAAACCAUUUUGUUGUGAACUGUGUGAUCAAAGGUUUACUGAAAAGAGCAGUUUAAACAAACACAUGAGAAUCCACACAGGACAGAAACCAUUUUGUUGUGAGCUGUGUGAUCGAAUGUUUACUGAAAAGAGCAGUUUAAACAAACACAUGAGAAUCCACACAGGACAGAAGCCAUUUUGUUGUGAGCUGUGUGAUCAAAGGUUUUCUCAAAAGAGCAGUUUAAACAAACACACGAGAAUCCACACAGGACAGAAACCCUAUUGUUGUGGGCUGUGUGAUCGAAGGUUUACCAGAAAGGACAGUUUAAACGAACACAUGAGAAUCCACACUGAAAACAAAGCACUGAUAUGACUCCUAAGUUGAAACCACACAAGAGGAAACAUGAGUUUGUCUUUACACACACUUCAAGUAAACUAAGACUAUGUUGCUUUUUAAACAAGUUGGGAAAGUCCAGAUGAUGAUGAUGAUGAUGGUGCCAUGGAUCUGGAAACUUUAAUACAGUAUGUUAAUUGACAGCAUUGGAGUGAUUACAGACAGACCUGUGGACAUAUUUUAAGUCUGACCCUAAACAUGGAUGGAUGGGUGGAUGGGUGUGUUAGGGUGAUAGGUCUUUAUACCUUUUUGAGAUUGGUUUUUGUCAUAUUUGAAAGACAAAAGUUCCACGGUUCACAUAGAUCAUUGGUCUUCUGUGGCAGCACCCCUAAAUUACGGAAUUCCUCGGGGUUCAAUCUUAGGCCCUAUUUUGUUUAUAUUGUACUUGCUGCCUCUUGGACACAUUUUUAAGAAAUAUAAUGUUUAUUUUCACUCUUUUGCAGACGAUGUCCAAAUAUACAUGCCCAAAAAGAAAAUACAUGAAAAAUAUGAUUCCCUACAGUCUCUAACAGAAUGUUUAUCUGAAGUUGGAUGAAACAAAAUUUUCUUCACCUGAAUCCAAAUAAAACUCAAGUCAUACUUUUUGGGCAAAAUAACCUUAUUACUAAAUCUGACCAAAUUCUUGGUUCUCUAGCCCCUCUUUAUCAGUCUUCUCUUAAGAAUCUUGGUGUCAUUUUUGACAGUUGUUUGAAAUUGGAUCAGUAUGGAGGUAAAUUUGUGUUUUUUAUUAUUCAAUCAAACAAAAAGCAUCU
Austrofundulus limnaeus is the source of this 1160-nucleotide long non-coding RNA. RefSeq lists it as uncharacterized. The record is from RefSeq and is a predicted model, not a curated record. The transcript is spliced from 2 exons. NCBI's taxonomy places the organism in Eukaryota, Metazoa, Chordata, Actinopteri, Cyprinodontiformes, Rivulidae.